UUUCCGUUAUGCUCCACACAAAAUAAAAUCUUUUCUGAAAGAUACUGGUUCUCUAUCUAAACUCCUCGACAACUGGCGCGUUUGCCCUAAGAAAGAGAAAACGCUGGACUCUAGUUUCAGUCCUGCUCCCUCCAGGAGAAACCUCUCCGUUAUCAUUUGCGCACAAUUUCAGUUCUUAUUUGGAUACCUCCUCUCUCUGUCUCUCUCUCUACUAUCUUUACCUUCUCAUUUACUCUUGUGCUUAUCUCUAUUCUCCAUUUACAGUAAACCCUUCCAAAAUAAGAUGAUUCUAUCUCAUCCAUGGCAAACAAAGCGCGCCUGCUGCGAUUUUUCAGGCACCGAUGGCGAGUUACGCACACUAGAAAACCCUAGGGCCUCCAUGUUUUGUUCACCAGAAACCCCUAGAGCUCCGAGCUUCCCCUUUUCUGAGAGCCCUAGGGCCUCGAACUUCUGCUUGUCUGAAAACUCUAGGGCUUCGAGUUUUUGUGUUGUAGAAGAGUCUAGGGUUUUGAGAUCGGGAGUUAUGGAGCAGGUGAUUGAAUCAUUGUUAGGAUUCUCUGAUUCUGAGGCUCUGGACGUGGCUCUUGAGCAAAUGAUGGAUAGAAAAGAAUCGGAGUCUUCAAAGGAUGAAUUUGUUGAGGAGACGCUGCAGCUGAGCUCUCUAUUGAGAGAAUCUGCUGAGAGAUUGGCUCGUAAGCGAGCCUCUUUUCACAAUUCAGUAGUCUGGCCUCUUGGUUCCGAUCUGACUAUCCAAGUCUUCUCAAAGCUGGACACAAGGAGCCUUUGCCAGGCUGGGGCAACUUGUUCAUUGUUUAACAAGUGCUCUGUUGAUCCUUCAUGUUAUGCUGAUCUUGAGUUGACAUCAAGAUCACCAAAGAUCAGCAACGCAACAGUGAAUACAAUGAUCCAGAGGGCAGGAGGAAACCUCCAGUCACUUAGGCUUGGCAUAAUUUCGGAACCUUCUGAGACAGAGCGAUCGUAUGGAUCUGCUGUUGAUUUCACUCAGAGGUCUGUGGAUAGUUUAGAUUCAUGGCAUUCUAGAAGAUCCAUGCAGGGGAGGGAGACCAGUGUCCUGACCAGGACAUGCUUAUCAUCCUUGAGCAUGGAUAAUGGUGCUAUUGGUGCUCUUUUGAAGAGAUUGCACCUUUACAACAUCGAAAGGAUGGACAAUGCUUCAUUCUGUGCAGCAUUAUCUGUUUGUCCGUCCCUCAUUGAUCUCGAAGUCUUGGGCCUGCAUAUUGAGCUCCGACAAGCUCUGAAGACUCUCAGUUCAUCCUGCCGUGGCCUGGAACGUUUAGUCAUUGAAUCAGCUAAAUCAGGAAGGGAUGAAAGUUUGAAAUCCGCAACAUGUGCUGAACUGGUGAAUGGGUGUCCUCUAAUAUCAUCAUUGGCUAUCAGGGCUUUCAAACUCAGUGAUCAGAAAGUCCGUAUACUUUGUAAGGGCUUCCGUAACCUUAGGUUUCUGGACCUGUCAAGCGCCUAUUCAAUUUGUGGCUUAUUUCUAAGGAGCCUAACUGAAACGGAGUCUUUAUUGGAGACUCUGAUUUUACGUGACUGCAUGCAUCUGAAAGAAGUGGAAGUUAACCGUUUCUUAUCAGCAAUUCAUACUGGAGAUUUACAGUUUCUUAGAUUCUUUGAUAUUUCAAAUAAAGAUGGUUUGGCUUCUGAUGAUGAUUGGUACAACCGAUGCUAUACACCAAGCCAGGAGCAUAUAUCACGAGUUCAGUCAGAGAGACCUGAGAUUCGAAUAGUAGCCGACUUUCCUUUGGACAGGAGGUGGCCUUUUGCAGCUUUACCGAACUGGAGCAUAUGAUAGAUAGCGAUAUCAAUAGUGAUGAUAGUGCGGCUCUGCAUAUGAGCGAUAGGGUAUCAUCAUACAGUAUCCCCUUUCCGAGUUCUUCUGAUAGCAGCUACAGCAACGAUCCGGGCAGUGGCAAUGAAGACAGUCAGAAUGCCCACAAUGACCUCUACGAUGAGUUCUCUGAUGGAAACGAUUCUCCUUAUAGAUAUUAGCAAGGUCUUUGGUUCAUUAUUGAUGGAUCUGGGUGAACCAGUGGAAAGAUGGAAUGGUUAUGAAGCCGACGUAUGACAGUAGUUGGUUUUUGAAUGGAAAGGAGUAGCUGCAAAUUUGAUGUUUGCAUGACUAUGGAAACAGCUUUUUUUUGGUAUGCCGUGGGCAUGCACAUCCAUCCAUUAUUGUUAGGGACGGUGGAUAUUGUUGGUGAUUGAGUCAUGAAAUAAGCAAAUGUAAAUAAGUCUCCUCCCAUGAUAUGUUGGGGCCUUCUUAGAUUCUUCAUUUGCAAACAUGGCGGGCUGUAUGUGGCUAUUUUCCAGAUCAACAUUCCUCGUCUUGGGAUGAUAUCAGAAAUCUUAUCAUUUAUUUCAUAAUAUCACGAGAUCUACUUUGCUCUC
Molecule: RNA transcript, 2412 nt
Organism: Amborella trichopoda
Lineage: Eukaryota; Viridiplantae; Streptophyta; Magnoliopsida; Amborellales; Amborellaceae
Gene name: F-box protein At4g02760
Source: RefSeq, a predicted model, not a curated record